RNAcentral lists this ribosomal RNA (454 nucleotides) under uncultured bacterium. RNAcentral describes it as "SSU rRNA". It matches the Rfam family "Bacterial small subunit ribosomal RNA", at positions 26 to 517 of the family's 1533-position model. The record is from RNAcentral.
AGGAUGAACGCUGGCGGCGUGGAUAAGGCAUGCAAGUCAAGGGGGCCGUCGCAAGAGGCAACCGGCAGACGAGGUAGUAAUAAGUAGGUACGAACUUUCGAGUCGCGAAUAGCUCGGCGAAAGCCGAGGUAAUACGCGAUAGUCCCUCCGGGGUAAAGAUUUAUCGCUCGAAAAUCGGCCUGCUCGGUAUCAGCUAGUUGGUAAGGUAACGGCUUACCAAGGCUAUGACGCCUAGGGGACCUGAGAGGGUGACCCCCCACCGAUGGGACUGAGACACGGCCCAUACACCUACGGGUGGCUGCAGUCGAGAAUCUUCCGCAAUGGACGAAAGUCUGACGGAGCGACGCCGCGUGAUGGAUGAAGUUUCUUCGGGACUAAACAUCUUUUAGUAGGGGAGGAAGUCUAUUGACGUUACCCUACGAAUAAGAGGUUGCUAAACUCGUGCCAGCAGCCG